AAAAAGUUAGUUAAAUUAUAACAUUAAUAUGUCAAAUUAAAAUUAUUAGUAUACUAAUACUUUUUG
Molecule: transfer RNA, 66 nt
Filed under: Dendroleon pantherinus
Lineage: Eukaryota; Metazoa; Arthropoda; Insecta; Neuroptera; Myrmeleontidae
Also listed under: 1 other name
Description: tRNA-Asp
Source: RNAcentral